GCAACUCCAUAGAGAUAGAGCACAGGGAAGUAAAAGAAGCAAAUGUGAGUAUCAAUUCAUAGCUAGAAAUAGGAUAAAAAUUCAAUAGAAACAGAUAUAAAACAGGUUAAGGUGGCAAAAAACCGGAAGGCAUUUAAUAAUCACAUACAUAUCGGUAGAAGUUUAAAGAUAACUUCUAAAUUCAAAUUGUUUCUCGAUCAUCCAUCAAAUUAAUCAAUCUUUAUCAACCAUGUAUUCCUAACUGACAAAAUCCACAUAUUUUCUUUCCGUUCUUCCAAAUUUUCCUUCUUUUCCUUCUAAAUGAUCAGCAAACAAAUUAUAAAUCGGAAUUGAAAAAGAAAGCGAACCUGUAUACUAAAGUCG
RNAcentral lists this unclassified non-coding RNA (363 nucleotides) under Hevea brasiliensis (rubber tree). The record is from RNAcentral. Lineage: Eukaryota; Viridiplantae; Streptophyta; Magnoliopsida; Malpighiales; Euphorbiaceae.